Long non-coding RNA from Culex quinquefasciatus (southern house mosquito), 1222 nucleotides. RefSeq lists it as uncharacterized. The record is from RefSeq and is a predicted model, not a curated record. The transcript has 3 exons. Lineage: Eukaryota; Metazoa; Arthropoda; Insecta; Diptera; Culicidae.
GUUUUUGUUUUGGGCGGCGUGGCGUGGAAAGGCGGCGGCGGCGGCGCCAGGGUUGACGUCUUGAACAACAAGCAUUUUGGCGGCUGGAAUUAGUUUGGAAAUUUUCAGACAACCCUGAUAGACUGCAGUCCCGCGGUCGUGCGAUUCGAAGCGUCCCUGUUAGACUGAAGUCCCGCGGUCGUGCGAUUUGAAGCGUUAUCUGCUCGAAAUCGAUUGAGUCCUGCCAUUUUCGAGCGUUUGUCGUGCGUUUUGAUGGUUUUGAUCGAAUGUCAGAGAAGCGACAUCUAGUGCGUGCAAAAUUCUCAGCAGGCAUUGAAAAAAAAAAUAUGACAGAUACUUUUCCAUUGCGGUUUCCAAGUUUCUCAAUCCAGUGAAAAAAAGUUUAUAAUCAAAAAAAAAGUUAAUUAUUGUGAAAAUUAUGUUCCAGAUUCAGGAGCAUGGCGGGCUUUACCAGACAUACAAAUGAAAGAGAUAGAAAUGAAAAAUGCUGGCUUCGGCACAUGGGACAAUGGCAAUGGCAACAAUGCCGCUAAGAACAAACCAAAGAUGAGUUCCAACUUCAGCAAGAACACCAAGAAACUCAAAAACCACCCUUGCAAAAGUGUGAAAUACAAUUGUUUGUACCUAUUACACUCACCCCGUUUGACAAGAAUAAUAAAAAGUACAAGUUUGCUAAUGAAUUCUCUUUUAUUUGCAUCAAAAUAACCCAAAAAUCCGAAACGAGAGCGCACGACAGUGGCAGGACAACCUAAAUAACAAAGGCGCCCGAAAACGGCCCGACAACGGCCCGUCAAAGUCGAUUUUCUCAAACGUCGAUUUCGACGAGCGUCGGACAAAGUGUUGCAUAUACGCACGAAAAGGGCCCGAAUUCCGUCGGACAAACCGUCGGAAUUCUGGCCGUUUUGUCGAGCCGUCGGACGGUUUUCGGGCCGUUGCCGGCCCCGUCCGUCAGUCAGGGGUUAUCUGCUCGAUGUCGAUUGAGUCCUGCCAUUUUCGAGCGUUUGUCGUGCGUUUUGAUCGAAUGUCAAAAUGGCGACAUCUAGUGUGUGUAAAAAUCUUGGCAGGCGUUGAUAAAAAUUAUUGACAGAUAAAUUUUCGUGGGUUUCCAACGUGAUAAGUUUUUUUUUCGUAGUGAAAUUAUAUUUUGUGAAAAAAGCAGAUUCUGGGCAGGAUGGAACCUAGACCUACCAAUAAACUAAUGAGAUGGAGUUGAAAAAAAAAA